CGACGAGACCUUCGGGUCUAGUGGCGCACGGGUGCGUAACGCGUGGGAAUCUGCCCUUGGGUUCGGGAUAACAGUUGGAAACGACUGCUAAUACCGGAUGAUGACUUCGGUCCAAAGAUUUAUCGCCCAGGGAUGAGCCCGCGUAGGAUUAGCUAGUUGGUGAGGUAAAAGCUCACCAAGGCGACGAUCCUUAGCUGGUCUGAGAGGAUGAUCAGCCACACUGGGACUGAGACACGGCCCAGACUCCUACGGGAGGCAGCAGUGGGGAAUAUUGGACAAUGGGCGAAAGCCUGAUCCAGCAAUGCCGCGUGAGUGAUGAAGGCCUUAGGGUUGUAAAGCUCUUUUACCCGGGAUGAUAAUGACAGUACCGGGAGAAUAAGCCCCGGCUAACUCCGUGCCAGCAGCCGCGGUAAUACGGAGGGGGCUAGCGUUGUUCGGAAUUACUGGGCGUAAAGCGCGCGUAGGCGGCUUUGUAAGUUAGAGGUGAAAGCCUGGAGCUCAACUCCAGAACUGCCUUUAAGACUGCAUCGCUAGAAUUGUGGAGAGGUGAGUGGAAUUCCGAGUGUAGAGGUGAAAUUCGUAGAUAUUCGGAAGAACACCAGUGGCGAAGGCGACUCAC
Molecule: ribosomal RNA, 619 nt
Filed under: uncultured bacterium
Lineage: Bacteria
Description: bacterial SSU rRNA
Rfam family: Bacterial small subunit ribosomal RNA
Source: RNAcentral